This 3816-nucleotide long non-coding RNA is filed under the name Sus scrofa (pig). RNAcentral describes it as "lncRNA (ENSSSCG00040015503.1)". The record is from RNAcentral. Lineage: Eukaryota; Metazoa; Chordata; Mammalia; Artiodactyla; Suidae.
AGCUCUCAGGGAGCUGGGAGCUCAUCCCCAAACCCCUAAUUAACAGCAGUCAGAUGCAGUGGAGUGUGCGUGAGGACGUGUUGGGAGAAAGAGGAUGAGGGAUUUAGGACGGGCUGGGGUGGUCUGGUCUCCGCUAGGCUGAGCGGGUCUGCGAGGGUGGUGGGUGUGGAACGGGAGCCCUCCCCAGCCUGAAUUUUAAAGUCGGAGGAGCAGAGGAUGCGGUCAGCUCAAAGCAACUGCCCGUCUUCCGCGGCUUCACCUGCGCGCGCCGGAUCUGGCGGCUCCCAUUUCCACGUCUCCAUGGCAACAGAGGAGUAAAGACAUUCACUCAGUCAGAAUGCUGGGCUGACAAGGGCCAGGCAAACGUUUCAUUCCUGUUUUUGGAACGGGGGUGGGAGUGUCCAUUUUCGUGCCAAGAGCCAGAUUUUGUUCUGGAGAUCUGGGAAGCAGCGGCUACUUCAUCAGGCAAAAUCACCGCCCAUGACCUGGGGGAGCAGAGAGUGGCCCUCCUGGGGAGGAGGAAAGAUCCAGAAAAUCCCCUCCCUCUGCCGGGGAGAGCGAAAAGGGGAAAGACACUCAGAAACAUCCAAGGUUAUUGUUUGUCUGAGCUGAGCUCAGUUGUGUUUCGGCAAAAGACACACACCCUCUCCUCCCUGGACCUCAGCGCUGCCCCAGCCUGUGGACUCCUGGCUCUCUCACCGGCUUGCUCAUUCUUUCCCUUUCUGCCUCCCCCCCACCCCAAGAAGGGCCGUCUUUUCUCUUUGAUGUGCACUGCUGAAUCACAGCAAAUAAUGUCACACAACGUUUUCUCCAGAGACCAGUGCUCUGAGCCCUGAUUUUAUGCAGAUGGAGUCACAAUGCAUCACACUUCAAAAUGAUUCUAAGUUUAAUUUCCCCAAGAUAAAACAAUGAAAGAAAGAUACAUAUGGAGGAAGAAUCCCAUCCUUAGGGCCACCAAACGUUCCCAGGAUCUGGGAUGCUUGUCACUCUGUCCCCUUACCUGCAGCUACAUCGUGCUCAUAAUCCUUAGAUGUCGCUCCUUUGCUGAAGAGUGUCAUUGCCCACACUGCAGAAACUGCAUCGCUGGCCUGAAACGUGCUUGCCAGAGGGUAGCUUAUUCCACAGGCUUAGAACUAGGUCAUCAGGACCGCCUGAGGGCAAGCUAUGUAAAUGAAUGUGCUGCAGGACACGGAAAUGUGAUAAUACAUUUUCCCAAACUUCUUGAAAAGUAAUAUCUUGUAAGCAUCUCAGUAUGGCAGUUCAUGAGUUUGGCAGAUGUAUUUGGAUGCUAUCAGUGCAGAGGCACUCACUCCCCAGCCUGGGCUGUCGUGUCCCACAGCCAAGUUCACCUCCGACCUGCAAAGACCAGUGUUGUCCUCACUUUGCGGGUGAUGCGUGAGGGGACGUGGCUGGUGAGGUCAGGUGGAGGUGGGUCUCGGGCUCGCUGUCCUGUGCUCUCCCACCUCUGCCCACCUUGGCACAGGUGCCUGCCCGACUAGCAGAAGAGACUCUCCAGCAGAAGCUUUGUUUGGCGGUGGCAAGGUUUCCUCCCACAAUCCUGUUCUAGAAGCCCAGUAGGGAAGGAGGUUGUCAGUGGAGUCGUGGUUGAGUGAGUGGUGGGGGACAAAGCCUUUUCAUUCUCCUCUCUCCUCCCUCUUGAGUGAUCACCUGGCCGUGUGGACUCUGCUUGAGAACUGCCCCUGACAGCAUCCUCUUAGGCGGUUCGUUUGGGGUCUGUUUGAAGUUUCCUGCGGAGUCCAGCCCUGCCUUUGGUCUUUGAGUACUUACAUAGUGCAAAGCCCUGUGCCAGACCUGCCAGCCUCCCACCAGGUGGAUGACAGCUUGGGAGGUUCUCAGGGCUGCCCGCUCUGCAGUGUGGGGAGGGGUGGCGUCGGAUGGAUGGACUGGGCUCCUGGCUGCCCCCAGCUGUUUAAUGCACCAGGUCUCCCGCUGACCUCUCUGUGGGAUGAGUCCUCAAACAGCAUCCUUGGGAACUGUUGUCAGCUUUUUAGCUAUGAUAAUCAUGUAGUGCACAUACUAAAUAAAAGAGCCUGUAUAUUUUAGUGGUAUAUGCCAAAGUAUCUACAGAUGCGCAGAUAAAAUUAUUACAGAAUUAUCCAGGGAGGGGGUGUAGAUGUGGUAAUAGAUGAAACAGUCAUUUUGUUGACCCUGGGUAAUGAGUGCAUUGUUAUAUCUUUCUACUUAGGACAGCUUUGAAAUUGUCCAAAAGUUUAAAAUACGCAGAUAUAUUAUAGAUAAAUAGACAAACAUACAGGAAAAAAAAAUCUGUGUUGGGGCUUGCCUCAAGAUCACCCACUUUGCUUCUCUCAGUUUGUCCAUUCUGCUGCUCUCUGGCAGGGUCUCAUCCUUUCCCUGGGGUAGGUGAGUCUUUGGACUUGCUUCUCUAAUGUGUUGACUAGGAUUCUACCCCUACUGGCAGCUUUGCCUGUACCUUUGACUUUGGCCUCUUCCACAGCUUAGAGUGCAGUAUGUUUCUCCACAAAGGUUUGUGGUGGAGACCUUACCAUCCAGCUCACUCUGGGAGAUGUGAAACAUUAAAAUUUUUUUACAGAGCUCACUUACUUUUAAGAUCUUCCAUUUUACAGAUGAGAAGACAGAGGCUAAGUAAACUGCCCAGGAGAACCAGGCAUGGGAACUCAGACAGUUUGACUCCAGGGAUGGCCUUUCCACCACUGCAUAUUAUAGGUGUUCUACUUGACAGUUGUAAAUGGUCAGGCUCAAUAGGAGGUACCCCCCCCACCUCCCACUCCAGCGAUGGAGCAAUUGUCAUCAAUUUUUUUGUAUUAAAAAAUUGGUAAAUAGAGAAAGUAAAACGCUGCUGUGCUACCAAAAUAGAUAGUAACUUUUUUCUGCAUGUGUUUUAUUUUAUAUUUUUGCUUUUAUUUAUUUAUUUUUUUUAGGGCUACGUGUGUGGCAUAUGGAAGUUCCCAGGCUAGGGGUCGAAUCGGAGCUGCAGCUGCCAACCUACACCACAGGUCACAGCAAUGCCGGAUCCUUAACCCACUGAGCGAGGCUAGGGCUCGAACCCACAUCCUCCUGGAAACUAGUCGGGUUCUUAACCCUGUGAGUCACAAUGGGAACUCUUCUGCAUGUGUUUUAGAUAACUAUAUUCAUAAUGACAAACAGUAUACAUUUUAAUGCUCUGAUUUUAAAAUGUUACAUCACAAGCAUUUCUUUGUAGUGCUUUUCUUUAUAGUAUCAUUCCAAAUGUGCUCUAGCGUUAAAGCAGUUCUUCCUCUUUUGUGGAACUCUCUGUUGUUUCCAAUUUUAUGGUGUUUGGUAUAAUCUGGGAACGAGUAUCUUGAGGCAUAUAGCUGCUGCUUCUUCUUUAUUUUUUUCUUUUCUGUAAAUGACCAGAGAUAAGAUUAUUGGAUCAAAGACUAAGUAAUCUAUGGCCCUGAAUCUUAUUGCCACUUGAAUUUCAGGUCAAUGGUUUUAUUUCAUAUCCUAUGCUUUUUUUGUUGUAUCCUCUCAAACACUGGGUGUCAACAAAUAAUUUCUUUCCUAUUUGAUACACAAACAAAGGUGAGGUUGGUUUAAUUUAAAUUGGUUUUAUUUCUAAGAAUGGCAGUUGUGCAAAUGGCUCUCUAGCUUCUAGGAAUCCCUUCAUAAUCCUCUGGGGUUGCCACCUCUCAGGCUGAGAAAAAUCUCUUUCACGUUCCUGAGGCUUGAUGAUAUCUUUUCUCUUAAAAAAACCCACAGGUUAGUUUCUAAUGAUAAAUUUAACAAAGACAUGCAAAUUGUAGAAAAUCUUAAAACAUGGACACGUUUUUAAAAAGAGAACAAUCAGGAGCU